This 76-nucleotide transfer RNA is filed under the name Actinomyces naeslundii. Its description in RNAcentral is "tRNA-Thr". It matches the Rfam family "tRNA". From Rfam's summary of the family: Transfer RNA (tRNA) molecules are approximately 80 nucleotides in length. Their secondary structure includes four short double-helical elements and three loops (D, anti-codon, and T loops). Lineage: Bacteria; Bacillati; Actinomycetota; Actinomycetes; Actinomycetales; Actinomycetaceae. The record is from RNAcentral.
GCCGCUUUAGCUCAGUUGGUAGAGCAGCUGUCUUGUAAACAGCAGGUCGUCGGUUCAAGUCCGACAAGCGGCUCCG